AGUAUAGCGCCCAUGCCUUUUGUUGUUGGUCUGACAAGGCUUCUCUCUUCCAUUGCGCCCUGCAAGCAGUUGUGCUUAGCGUCAUUGACCGGCCUGUGCACCCACUCCUCCCUAUAUCUACCAGCUUUGGUUGUGCUACUUCCCCCCCUCCUCUUCGUUCCACUCGUUGCGUGAGGCUCGCUUUGUCCGCUAGUGCAGUUGCUGUCUUCUCCCUCUUCCGUCAGUCUUGUGUUUUUUUUUCCUUCCCGUCUUCGUUUCCAUGCAUGAUGGUGGAAUUGCAGGUCUUGGUUCAGAGCUGGUAGUUUAGCCUUCUCUUGUGCUAAAAAUCUAGGUCAGCUAGGUGGACUGUUCUUCAUCAGGCCUCUGGUUGAAAAGCUAUACAAUAGGCCUAUGGUCCAGCUCGGUUACGUACCUCAGCUGCUCUUCAUAGGGCCGGCCGGGUGUGCUCCUAAUAAUCCAGUAACACCAUGAUACUAUCAAAUAAUGAACACAGAUCAGAUACAGUCCAACUGCUUAUACAUGCUAUUUGUAAGCUAUUUGUACUCAAAAGUUUAUCGUUGUGUUUACAUGCAUGUUUGGUCUAGCUACACUUUUAGAGUCUGAUACUAAACGUCUGAACUGUACGUAGGGCGCCCAAAUUAGUUUCUGAUCUUUCUGUUCCUAUUACUACGAUCGUUGGGAACUUAUUCUUCUCCAGGUGUGAGAAAUCAGUAUAAUUAAUUUCCUGCA
This is a long non-coding RNA of Zea mays, 729 nucleotides long. RefSeq lists it as uncharacterized. NCBI's taxonomy places the organism in Eukaryota, Viridiplantae, Streptophyta, Magnoliopsida, Poales, Poaceae. The record is from RefSeq and is a predicted model, not a curated record. The transcript is spliced from 2 exons.